UAAGGUGAAAAAACUUCGUGUAUUAGAUAUAUAUGUAUAAGCAUGGUGAUAUUUUAAUCUUUUGGUGAGAGUCGUAAUUAUGUUUGCUGCAGUAUGAACACAAGUAAAUUAUGAGUUGACUAUUUGAAGAAACCAUCCCCAUUUUCCUUUUUUAUUGUGUUUGCCAAUUAGUUCAGUUUUUCUUCUGAAUUUUAUCAUCAUUGUGCUGUUGAAAUACCCCAGACAAUUUUGUGGGUGAUUUUUAUAACUAGUGUGUGUUAUACCACAAAUACAAUGGCAGUAUCAGGAAUUUAUUCGCUCCCUGGGUCUAGAAGUCCAGAAGUAGAUCAAUGCACAAUCCAUAGUUUAUAAUAUUUGCUCAUCUUUUCUUUAUAGGCUUGUCUUUUUCUGAGUCGUUACAAUCAGAAGUGUACAUAGUCAUCAUUUUUUUUGGAAUAUUUUUUCUGGCAUGUAAAAUCUUCUCAAUUAAGGAAUGAGGCAUGUAAAACAGUCUCAGACAUACACAUUCUGAGAAUAAUUUUACCACAUAAAAAGCCAAACUAAAAGAUUUCAGAGGAAGCAAUUUAAUAAAGAGACAAAUGUCCAGAAGCAUAGAUCUGAUGAUGAUCAAUAUUAAACCCAUCAGGUGCCCUCAUAAUAUUUAAUAGGCCGUUGUCAAACUUGGAUUAAGCAUCAUAGAAACUUGAAUUUGAUGUUUGGAUAAAAUUGACAAGACACAGACUGGUGAGGUUAUAGUGAUGACCUUGGGAUGAAGAGGCAAAUAGUGACAUCAUAUCACAGUGCCUAAUGUCGUGCAUAGCAAUGACCAUCACUUCUCUUUCCCCUACAGAUGCCUCAGUCUUUGUGUAGCCAGAGGUGUGGUCCAGGAUUCAGGAAAAUUCACAGGAAGGAAAAUAUACCUGCUGCUAUACUUGUGUUGUUUGUCCAGAGAGACAUUUCCAAUCAUACAGUGGUUCCCACAGGGUAUGUGAAUUUCACCGGAGUAAUAGCAUCAUUGUUUCCUGGAAUAUGAACACUAUGCAAAGGCAAAAAGAGAAAGCAGUCAAAUGAUGGAGUACACAAUUACAGAAUAAUGCCUAUAAUCAUGGAAUCUACCGAUAGUUGUGAUAAAGAUAUGCUGUCCAAAUAACAAGACAGUAAUUAUUGACUAAGAUGUUUGUGAACAAUACAGUGUCCAAAGUGAAGAAUGCUCAAGGAUUAGUUGACUCUUGUGUUUGGGAAAUAAAUUCCACUAAAUUAUACCA
This 1244-nucleotide long non-coding RNA is filed under the name Oryctolagus cuniculus (rabbit). RNAcentral's name for it is "lncRNA (ENSOCUG00000034868.1)". The record is from RNAcentral. Lineage: Eukaryota; Metazoa; Chordata; Mammalia; Lagomorpha; Leporidae.